This 215-nucleotide long non-coding RNA is filed under the name Mytilus galloprovincialis (Mediterranean mussel). Lineage: Eukaryota; Metazoa; Mollusca; Bivalvia; Mytilida; Mytilidae. The record is from RNAcentral.
GUAAGAUCUACAAAAAAGUCAACAAGACCAAAAUGGUCAGUCAACCCUUGAGAUUUAAUUGUCCUUUAUAGUCGAUUUUUAACAAUUUUGUAAAUAUUUGUAAUCUUUUACAAAAUCUUCUCCUCUGAAACUAAUAAGACAAAUUUAAGCAAACUUGUCCACAAUCAUCAUUAGAGUCUCUAGUUUAAAAAAUGUGUCCUAUGACCCUGCCCACG